RNAcentral lists this transfer RNA (75 nucleotides) under Lupinus albus (white lupine). RNAcentral's name for it is "tRNA-Val". It matches the Rfam family "tRNA". From Rfam's summary of the family: Transfer RNA (tRNA) molecules are approximately 80 nucleotides in length. Their secondary structure includes four short double-helical elements and three loops (D, anti-codon, and T loops). Further hydrogen bonds mediate the characteristic L-shaped molecular structure. tRNAs have two regions of fundamental functional importance: the anti-codon, which is responsible for specific mRNA codon recognition, and the 3' end, to which the tRNAs corresponding amino acid is attached (by aminoacyl-tRNA synthetases). tRNAs cope with the degeneracy of the genetic code in two manners: having more than one tRNA (with a specific anti-codon) for a particular amino acid; and 'wobble' base-pairing, i.e. permitting non-standard base-pairing at the 3rd anti-codon position. Lineage: Eukaryota; Viridiplantae; Streptophyta; Magnoliopsida; Fabales; Fabaceae. The record is from RNAcentral.
AGGUUUCGUGGUGUAGUUGGUUAUCAUGUCAGUCUAACACACUGAAGGUCUCCGUUCGAGUCCGGGCAAAGCCAU